GACGAACGCUGGCGGCGUUCUUAACACAUGCAAGUCGAACGGAAAGGCCCUGCUUUUGUGGGGUGCUCGAGUGGCGAACGGGUGAGUAACACGUGAGUAACCUGCCCUUGACUUUGGGAUAACUUCAGGAAACUGGGGCUAAUACCGGAUAGGAGCUCCUGCUGCAUGGUGGGGGUUGGAAAGUUUCGGCGGUUGGGGAUGGACUCGCGGCUUAUCAGCUUGUUGGUGGGGUAGUGGCUUACCAAGGCUUUGACGGGUAGCCGGCCUGAGAGGGUGACCGGCCACAUUGGGACUGAGAUACGGCCCAGACUCCUACGGGAGGCAGCAGUGGGGAAUAUUGCACAAUGGGCGGAAGCCUGAUGCAGCAACGCCGCGUGCGGGAUGACGGCCUUCGGGUUGUAAACCGCUUUCGCCUGUGACGAAGCGUGAGUGACGGUAAUGGGUAAAGAAGCACAGGCUAACUACGUG
This 468-nucleotide ribosomal RNA is filed under the name uncultured bacterium. Its description in RNAcentral is "partial 16S ribosomal RNA". It matches the Rfam family "Bacterial small subunit ribosomal RNA", at positions 28 to 507 of the family's 1533-position model. The record is from RNAcentral.